Non-coding RNA from Capsicum annuum, 107 nucleotides. Lineage: Eukaryota; Viridiplantae; Streptophyta; Magnoliopsida; Solanales; Solanaceae. The record is from Rfam.
UGAUAAUGAUGAGGGCAAUACCUGAGGAUAGCCUUGAAUCUUUCCCAAGCUUAGUAAAUAUGCUCUCCGUAUUUCUGCCCAAAACUCAGAAUCUCUCUUCUCAAAUA